UAAGUGAAGAGUUUGAUCCUGGCUCAGAGUGAACGCUGGCGGCAGGCCUAACACAUGCAAGUCGAACGGCAGCACAGAGGAGCUUGCUCCUUGGGUGGCGAGUGGCGGACGGGUGAGGAAUACAUCGGAAUCUGCCCAGUCGUGGGGGAUAACAUAGGGAAACUUAUGCUAAUACCGCAUACGACCUACGGGUGAAAGCGGGGGAUCGCAAGACCUCGCGCGAUUGGAUGAGCCGAUGUCCGAUUAGCUAGUUGGCGGGGUAAUGGCCCACCAAGGCGACGAUCGGUAGCUGGUCUGAGAGGAUGAUCAGCCACACUGGAACUGAGACACGGUCCAGACUCCUACGGGAGGCAGCAGUGGGGAAUAUUGGACAAUGGGCGCAAGCCUGAUCCAGCCAUGCCGCGUGUGUGAAGAAGGCCUUCGGGUUGUAAAGCACUUUUGUCCGGAAAGAAAAGCUUCGGGUUAAUACCCUGGGGUUCUGACGGUACCGGAAGAAUAAGCACCGGCUAACUUCGUGCCAGCAGCCGCGGUAAUACGAAGGGUGCAAGCGUUACUCGGAAUUACUGGGCGUAAAGCGUGCGUAGGUGGUUUGUUAAGUCUGAUGUGAAAGCCCUGGGCUCAACCUGGGAAUUGCAUUGGAUACUGGCAGGCUAGAGUGCGGUAGAGGAUGGCGGAAUUCCCGGUGUAGCAGUGAAAUGCGUAGAGAUCGGGAGGAACAUCUGUGGCGAAGGCGGCCAUCUGGACCAGCACUGACACUGAGGCACGAAAGCGUGGGGAGCAAACAGGAUUAGAUACCCUGGUAGUCCACGCCCUAAACGAUGCGAACUGGAUGUUGGGUGCAACUAGGCACUCAGUAUCGAAGCUAACGCGUUAAGUUCGCCGCCUGGGGAGUACGGUCGCAAGACUGAAACUCAAAGGAAUUGACGGGGGCCCGCACAAGCGGUGGAGUAUGUGGUUUAAUUCGAUGCAACGCGAA
Molecule: ribosomal RNA, 976 nt
Filed under: Lysobacterales bacterium
Lineage: Bacteria; Pseudomonadati; Pseudomonadota; Gammaproteobacteria; Lysobacterales
Description: bacterial SSU rRNA
Rfam family: Bacterial small subunit ribosomal RNA
Source: RNAcentral